CUACGGGGGGCACCAGUGAGGAAUAUUGCACAAUGGGGGGAACCCUGAUGCAGCAACGCCGCGUGGAGGAUGACGCACUUCGGUGUGUAAACUCCUUUUAUAUGUCAAGAAAAUGACGGUAGCAUAUGAAUAAGCACCGGCUAACUCCGUGCCAGCAGCCGCGGUAAUACGGAGGGUGCAAGCGUUACUCGGAAUCACUGGGCGUAAAGGACGCGUAGGCGGGUUGGAAAGUCAGGUGUGAAAUCCUACAGCUUAACUGUAGAACUGCACUUGAAACUUCUAAUCUAGAGGAUGGGAGGGGGAGAUGGAAUUAGUGGUGUAGGGGUAAAAUCCGUAGAUAUCACUAGGAAUACCUAAAGCGAAGGCGAUCUCCUGGAACAUUACUGACGCUAAGGCGUGAAAGCGUGGGGAGCAAACAGGAUUAGAUACCCUCGUAGUC
Molecule: ribosomal RNA, 439 nt
Filed under: uncultured bacterium
Lineage: Bacteria
Description: partial 16S ribosomal RNA
Rfam family: Bacterial small subunit ribosomal RNA
Source: RNAcentral